GUCGUCUUUGGAAAUUAUUACAAAGUUCAGCUGGAAGUCUCCUUCUCCCUGUGGACCUUCCCCAAUUCCACUGGCUGCCCUCCUCAAGGACCCCUGUGAGAUAAAUUCAGAAAUGGCUAUCCUUGGCUUCCCUGGGGAACAAGAGUGCCUGCAGUUCUUUUCCCACUUCUUUUACUUUUCUAUUUCACUGGGCUCUCUAAAUUCAUUUCAGCUCUAGGGAUUUGGAAAGGAUUCCGUGAUGGUUAAUAUUGAGUGUCAACUUGAUUGGAUUGAAGGAUGCAAAGUAUUGUUCCUGGGUGUGUCUGUGAGGGUGUCACCAAAGGAGAUGAACAUUUGAAUCAGUGAGCUGGGAGACACAAACCCAUACUCAAUCUUGGGGGACACCAUCUAAUCAGCUGCCAGUGCAACUAGGAUAAAAUCAGGCAGAGAAAUUUGGAAAGACUAGACUGGCUGAGUCUUCUGGCCUUCAUCUUUCUCCCAUGCUAGAUGCUUCCUGACCUCGAAUAUCAGACUCCAAGUUCUUUAGCUUUUGGACUCUUGGACCUUUGGCCACAGACGGAAGGCUGCACUUUUGAAGUUUUGGGACUUGGACUGGCUUCCUUGCUCCUCAGCUUACAGAUGGCCUAUUGUGGGACUUCACCUUGUGAUUGUGAUUUCAAACCUUCUGGGUUUCUUCCCAGCGCUAAAUCCUGUCGACUGGAUUCACUAGGAUGAAUAGAGAAAGAAGUGUUACAUUUUAAGAUAAUUUCUUUUCUAAACACACAGAAAGAUCGUGGUCACCAGAUGGCUGUUGCCCUUCCAGGCUUCCAGCUCCUGUGUUCCAGACUGAAGAAGAGGAACAGAAAAAGGGUUCCACCUUGGCAUGGUCAGAAACAGCAGUUGACUAGUGAAGGAGGAAAUGAAUGAACAAAAAGGAAGAUCUCUCUUUUCUACAGCAAGCAGUAGUUUCUCACAGCAUCCAGCAUAGUGCUGGAUGCAGAAAGUCCAAGAUCAAGAUGCCAGUGGGAUUGGUUUCUGUGCUACUUGAAGGGGCACCAAAAAAUCAUGAGCCCAGGACAGGACAGAGGUGGAACUUAUUCUCCAGGUGCUCUACUUUGAAGUCAAGGACAUCUUACCAUCAUCCUGGAGAGCUGGAUCCUCCCAGAAUGAGGAAACUAAGCCCUGGAGAUGUGAAGAUAAUUCCAGCAGUCAGUGGCAGAGUCACGAUGUUCAUCUACCUCAGCUGAAAUAAAAAUCUA
Molecule: long non-coding RNA, 1238 nt
Filed under: Homo sapiens (human)
Lineage: Eukaryota; Metazoa; Chordata; Mammalia; Primates; Hominidae
Description: HSALNT0320539
Source: RNAcentral